UGCCAGCAGCCGCGGUAAUACGGAAGGUGCAAGCGUUAAUCGGAAUUACUGGGCGUAAAGCGCGCGUAGGUGGUUUGUUAAGUUGGAUGUGAAAGCCCUGGGCUCAACCUAGGAACUGCAUCCAAAACUAACUCACUAGAGUACGAUAGAGGGAAUUUCUAGUGUAGCGGUGAAAUGCGUAGAUAUUAGAAAGAACACCAGUGGCGAAAGCGCUCUACUGGACCAUUACUGACACUCAGAGGCGAAAGCUAGGGUAGCAAAAGGGAUUAGAUA
Molecule: ribosomal RNA, 273 nt
Filed under: uncultured bacterium
Lineage: Bacteria
Description: partial 16S ribosomal RNA
Rfam family: Bacterial small subunit ribosomal RNA
Source: RNAcentral